RNAcentral lists this transfer-messenger RNA (400 nucleotides) under marine eukaryotic metagenome. It matches the Rfam family "transfer-messenger RNA". Rfam says of the family: Bacterial tmRNA, also known as 10Sa RNA or SsrA, is named for its dual tRNA and mRNA-like properties. The record is from RNAcentral.
GGGGCCGAUCUGGAUUUGACAGCAAGAUCAAUGAGAUCGUAAGCAUGCCGAGCUAUGAUGUUAAUGCUCGUAAAUCUCUACUUCAACCAUUUUAAAUGGCGAAAACAAUUACGCUUUAGCUGCCUAAUAAUCUGAAUUAUAGUAAGAUUUGGCCUAGUCUCGCGAGGCGAGAGAGCUAAAUGUCUCUAGAAAGCCCUUGUUGGCGGCGUUCUUCAAAGAGGCACCAUUAAAGUCAACAACGAGUGACUUUUGCUUCGCAAGUCACUUUAAAUUUAGAAGCUAAGAGAGUGAGUAGAGGGUCACUGAUCAGCUCUUCUCUGACAAUCACUCAGUGAAUAAGCAUGUAGAAAGCGUUUGAAUUGCUUGUUUGGACGAGGGUUCGAACCCCUCCGGCUCCACU